CCUUUGUCUAACCUCGAGUUUCGUACUUCUUGAUCUAAAAUAGUAAAUUUAACUUAUUUAAUAAUCACAUUCAUCAAAAUAGCCCUCGACUCUAACUUUUUCAAAAUUACAAUUUUGCCCCUAAACUUUUACAUAAUUACAUUUUUGCCCCAAGGCUCGGAAAUUAAACUUCAUCUCUUAUUCUUAUGUUUUAUAACAUUCUGAACAUUUUUCCCUUCUAUGGCAACAUCAAAUUCUAAUUUAAUCCCUUAUCAAUACUAAUUUUAUUUUUGCAUUCUAACUCUAUAUUCUCUCUUAAUUCUUACUAUAAAGUCAAUUUAAUUCCUCAAUUUCACCAUAAAUCCCUAAUUUCGGGAUUCUUUCAAUUUAAUCCCUAUCGAUUCAAAACUUAUAUUUUAUUUUACAAUUAUGUUCUUUACUAACUUCUAACUUGAAAUUAAAUCAAUUUAACCCCUAACUAAACCUAUAUAUUUUUCUUUCUCAAUUCAUACCCUUAUUCUACCCAAUUUCUUGCUAAACUCAUAUUUAACUAUUUAAUUUUUAUCAUGUUUUCAUAAUUUCGAAUUUAUUUCAAAUUAAUCCCUAAAAUUCAAAACUUAUAGUUUAGUUUACAAUUCAAUCCUUUAUUCAAUUCCAAUCAAAAUUUCUAUCAAAUACAUCCCUAAUUUAACAAUUUAUUCAACAUGAACCAUGCUUAAUAAUCUACUAACUUCCAAAAUUUCAACUUAAUCAAGUAGUAUUUUGUUCUAGGAUUUCAAAAAAAAUAUCAAAAUUAAGAGAAAAUGGGAUUAAAUUGACUUACCAAAUUACUUUGAACCUUAAAACCCCAAAUUUCCCUUUUUCUUUUCUUUUCUUUCUUUCUUUCUUUCCUUCCUUCCUUCUCUGUUUCGUUUUGCUCUCUGUUUCUUUCUUUCUCCCUUCUCUGUUUUGUUUUGCUCUCUGUUUCUUUUCUUUCUUUCUUUGUCAUAUAUAUAUAAUAAUAAUAUAAUAUAAUAUAAUAUAAUAUAUUAAUAAUAAUAUAAUAUAAAAACAUAAUUAUUACUUACGCAUGUAU
RNAcentral lists this long non-coding RNA (1054 nucleotides) under Gossypium barbadense (sea-island cotton). Its description in RNAcentral is "long non-coding RNA (GBAR_LNC013126)". Lineage: Eukaryota; Viridiplantae; Streptophyta; Magnoliopsida; Malvales; Malvaceae. The record is from RNAcentral.